Long non-coding RNA from Corticium candelabrum, 340 nucleotides. RefSeq lists it as uncharacterized. The transcript is spliced from 3 exons. The record is from RefSeq and is a predicted model, not a curated record. NCBI's taxonomy places the organism in Eukaryota, Metazoa, Porifera, Homoscleromorpha, Homosclerophorida, Plakinidae.
AGUGGUUACAGAGAUUUGUGCGAUGGAGAGUAAAAAAUGAGGGAUGACUCUGUUUGAUUUUGACUUCAAGAGUAGCAGGCAGCAAGCGGAGAGUAGGGGAGGUGUCCCUAAUUUUGUACCUCUAGAGUUGGGGGAAUCCAGAGACGACUUGGCUUUCAAAUCGCGUUGCGAGUGUAAAGGCAAAUGACGAUUUUACGGCAAGCUGUCACGUGUUAGCUGAAUAGCCCGGAUGUACCUAAUGUGAAAGAGACCUUGUUUUUCAGUGUUAGUUGUAGCUUAUUUAUGUUGUUCUUUUGGAGUAGAACUGCGCUAUGAUUUCGACUUGUAAACAUUCACGUUG